GAUGAAGAACGUAGCGAAAUGCGAUAAGUAAUGUGAAUUGCAGAAUUCAGUGAAUCAUCGAAUCUUUGAACGCACCUUGCGCCCUUUGGACUUCUGAAGGGCAUGCCUGUUUGAGUAUCAUGAACACCUCAACUCCUUAUGGUCUUCCAUGAUGAGCUUGGACUUUGGGGGUUUUGCUGGCCUACAGUCAGCUCCUCUAAAAUAAAUCAGCUUACCGGUGUUUGGUGGGUAUCAUGGGUGUGAUAACUAUCUACGCUCGUGGUUUUCCACCAGGUAACCUUCAGCAGUGGAGGUUCACUGGAGCUCAUAGAUGUCUCUCCUCAGCGAGGACAACCCUUUGAAUGUUUGAUCUCAAAUCAGGUAGGACUACCCGCUGAACUUAAGCAUAUCAAUAAGCGGAGGA
Molecule: unclassified non-coding RNA, 403 nt
Filed under: soil metagenome
Description: partial contains 5.8S ribosomal RNA, internal transcribed spacer 2, and large subunit ribosomal RNA
Rfam family: 5.8S ribosomal RNA (bases 1-120)
Source: RNAcentral